RNAcentral lists this transfer RNA (67 nucleotides) under Marmota monax (woodchuck). Its description in RNAcentral is "tRNA.Ala". Lineage: Eukaryota; Metazoa; Chordata; Mammalia; Rodentia; Sciuridae. The record is from RNAcentral.
GGCUGUGGCUCAGUGGAAGAGCGCUUGCCUAGCACGUGUGAGGCACUGGGUUUGAUCCUCAGCACCA